This 77-nucleotide transfer RNA is filed under the name Garciella nitratireducens DSM 15102. RNAcentral's name for it is "tRNA_Arg_ACG". It matches the Rfam family "tRNA". Rfam says of the family: Transfer RNA (tRNA) molecules are approximately 80 nucleotides in length. The record is from RNAcentral. Lineage: Bacteria; Bacillati; Bacillota; Clostridia; Eubacteriales; Eubacteriaceae.
GUGCCCAUAGCUCAGCCGGAUAGAGUGUCUGACUACGAAUCAGAAGGUCGGGGGUUCGAAUCCCUCUGGGCACACCA